This 731-nucleotide ribosomal RNA is filed under the name uncultured Enterobacterales bacterium. RNAcentral describes it as "bacterial SSU rRNA". It matches the Rfam family "Bacterial small subunit ribosomal RNA", at positions 46 to 768 of the family's 1533-position model. The record is from RNAcentral. Lineage: Bacteria; Pseudomonadati; Pseudomonadota; Gammaproteobacteria; Enterobacterales.
GCUUACACAUGCAAGUCGAGCGGUAGCACAGGGGAGCUUGCUCCCUGGGUGACGAGCGGCGGACGGGUGAGUAAUGUCUGGGAAACUGCCUGAUGGAGGGGGAUAACUACUGGAAACGGUAGCUAAUACCGCAUAACGUCGCAAGACCAAAGAGGGGGACCUUCGGGCCUCUUGCCAUCAGAUGUGCCCAGAUGGGAUUAGCUAGUAGGUGGGGUAAUGGCUCACCUAGGCGACGAUCCCUAGCUGGUCUGAGAGGAUGACCAGCCACACUGGAACUGAGACACGGUCCAGACUCCUACGGGAGGCAGCAGUGGGGAAUAUUGCACAAUGGGCGCAGCCUGAUGCAGCCAUGCCGCGUGUGUGAAGAAGGCCUUCGGGUUGUAAAGCACUUUCAGCGAGGAGGAAGGUGGUGAGCUUAAUACGCUCAUCAAUUGACGUUACUCACAGAAGAAGCACCGGCUAACUCCGUGCCAGCAGCCGCGGUAAUACGGAGGGUGCAAGCGUUAAUCGGAAUUACUGGGCGUAAAGCGCACGCAGGCGGUUUGUUAAGUCAGAUGUGAAAUCCCCGGGCUCAACCUGGGAACUGCAUUUGAAACUGGCAAGCUAGAGUCUCGUAGAGGGGGGUAGAAUUCCAGGUGUAGCGGUGAAAUGCGUAGAGAUCUGGAGGAAUACCGGUGGCGAAGGCGGCCCCCUGGACGAAGACUGACGCUCAGGUGCGAAAGCGUGGGGAG